CAGAAAUUAUCCUGGACUCGCUGUUAAUAGUUACGUGAAAAUGUCAGCUCAAUACUCAAUAGGGGUCAAAAAGACAAGCACAGAACCAUGUUAGGAAAAGGUAGAAAGAGAAAAAAAGUAAAAAAAAAAAAACAAGUGGAAAAAAGGAGAAAAUUCCAUAAAAUUGGUAUAUGAAUACAUGGAGAUCUUCAACACUGCAUGCAUUUUGAGCCACCUUAUCAAAAGGAAGUUAGAGUAGAAUUAAAAGAAACCCAACCUCCACAAAGAAACAAGAAUCAUUGGAAUAGUUUUCAUAUAAAGACAGAAAAGUUUUUCCUGAUAAAUAAUAGAUUUCAGAGGAGAGGAGUUGAUAGCUCUUUACAGAGACAUAAAUAGUGAAUGGAGGACACACAUAAAUUAAUUUAUUUCUCUGUAAUAAACUACAAAUUGAAUUUAAGUCUUCAGGAUGAAAGAUUAGAAGCAAGCAAGAGGGGUGCUUCUAAAGAAAAAAAUAAAAAGCCAUAAGCAAAGGUGAUGAUGUCACUUUUGGUUCAGAAAGACCUUAAACUGGCUCUGACCAAGAGGAAUGGUGCUAUGCUUUCUCCAAAGUAGCCAGUGUUAGCCACUGUCAGGGGUGGCAGUCAGUGAAACUGCAGCCUGUUCUGGGGAACUAAGCCCUGACAUCAGCAGAAGUUGCUGUGAUGCUCCCCAGCGUGACCUGUAGUGGAGGAAGUAUCUUGAGCACAGGAUGUGGUGUGUGCCUGUAACAGUUGAGAAAAGGAAUGCUUUGUUUCUGAAUAUAAAUGGAAAUGAACCAAAUCCAAUGUAAAAUCAUACUUGGUUCGAUGGGUGAUUAAAAUAUCAAAAUGUUUAUAAGCUUUCUGUAGGUUGUGGAAGAUUAUCAGUGGGAUGGUCCAAAGCCACAUAGCCUCAGGUUCAUCUUUAUGUCAGGUGUACCCAUUUUCAUCUCUAAGCCUUUAAAAAGCAAAAAAAAGGAAUGAAAAAGUUGUUUUUACUGACCUUCUGGGUAUGCUAACUUCAUGGACUCAGGGGAGAAUCUAGCAACAAAGACAGUCUUGUGAAUACAUGUCUGUACAGUGUGUCAGAUGCAUUUGCUGGACCACAGGCUAACAAUAAAAAGAGAAAAUGAAACUUAUAAAGUUAUUGCUUAUUGUCUGCAAGAUUUAAUCACUCACACUGGAAGUAACUUUACUCUUACCAAUGUGUUCUUUUUCCUCUUUUUUUUUUUUUUAAGAACACUGUGUAUGAAACAAGUGAAAUAAUGCUGAAAUAUAUGUUUUCUAGUGCCUACCUGCUCAGCACCUGAUAGAAACUAUCAAGAAGUUGUCCCCAUGGAAAGUGUCUCCUGAAUUAUACUGAAGGCAAUAAGAGAGAGUCUGUGGUUAAAACUUCUGCCUACAACCAAAUUCUGAGAAUUGGUGUUGUGACUCUCAUCUUCAAAAAGAGCAUAAUAAUUAGAUAACGAGGAGAAUAGUCCAUAUACAAGGAACAAAGAUGCUCCAUGCAAUAACUUGCUGACAUAUAUGUGACUGGCAAUGGAAGAUGGUCUGGCCAUGUGUGAGUCUUCACCCCACAGAUGUACCUCUUCUCUCUUGUUGAUUGCCUCUGAUGUCCUAAGACAAGACGCCAGGAGGAACUCUCUGGAUGCUCUUGUAAGGAAUACAUUCACUUUUAGGCAGGAGCUUAUUUAAUUCACUGAAAUGGAAGACCUAUUUGUGUCAUCUAUGUUGUGGGUAGUCUUCUGAAAUUUCAGCUGUAAAAUGUGACAGUGGACUAUGGUGGCUUUCAGAAGGGGAAGAGAAAGACAAGAGCACAAGGGCACAGAAAGAGAAAGGAAAAGAAGAAAAGGACACACAGACUUCAUAUUUUCAGCUGCAAGGAGAUAUUUAUUGCCUUUAUCUACCCGUUGAACUUAUGCUGUGGCUUUAUGCCACUUAAAACAAUUUUUCCAAUUAAAAUUGAAGUUUUCCUUACUAAUUUUUGCAAAUGCCAUUUUUCUCUUUUUUUCACUUGCAUAAGGAACUGAUAUACUGCAUUUUUAGCUCUUCACAUGCCUGAUUUUUUCUGAACUCACUGAAUUCCAUGACCUAGAUGUUGGUCUUCUCUUGUUUCAUGAGGGAAAUAAUCCCAGGGGACAGCUUCUGCAGGUGAGCAAGUGUGUUGCCAUGCUCUGCUGGUGUAUGGGAAUCAGUAUUUGAACCUCAGACUAUGGAAGAACAAGGUAUUGAAUGUUUCUGGCUGUAACAGGUGAGAUGUGUCAAAACUGGUAAGGUCUUUAUGGUUUCAGAUUUCCCCUUAGAGGUGGGCCAUCACCCUGAAAACUCAGCUUCUGAGCUU
Molecule: non-coding RNA, 2337 nt
Organism: Cyanistes caeruleus (blue tit)
Lineage: Eukaryota; Metazoa; Chordata; Aves; Passeriformes; Paridae
Source: RefSeq, a predicted model, not a curated record